Molecule: long non-coding RNA, 288 nt
Organism: Homo sapiens (human)
Lineage: Eukaryota; Metazoa; Chordata; Mammalia; Primates; Hominidae
Source: Ensembl
GUUUUGUUUUUUUGAGACCGAGUCUCACUCUUGUCGCCCAGGCUGGAACGCUGUCUAAAAAGAAAAGCAGGGAAUUUGACACAAAGAAAAUAAACUAGAAAUAGAUCUUUGAGGCCAAUGGAUUUUAGAAAAGAAAAAUAUCAGCUCUUCCUUUUCUUUAACCUGUUCCUUGAGGACAAUGCCAUAGAAUGUUGUGAGCAUCUGCAAGCAUAACCGGGAGGUGGGCUCUCACUGAACAGCACUCACCGACUCCCACCGGGGCCCGCACCGUGUAGUGCAUGCAGCCCA